Arachis ipaensis is the source of this 1007-nucleotide long non-coding RNA. RefSeq lists it as uncharacterized. Lineage: Eukaryota; Viridiplantae; Streptophyta; Magnoliopsida; Fabales; Fabaceae. The record is from RefSeq and is a predicted model, not a curated record.
AUCAUUUCGUGGGCGCCGCUCCAGAGGUGAACCUGGUGCUGCCAGACCCAUUUCGCGGGCACCACACCUGUCUUGACUUGGAACUCCAUUUCGCAGGCGCCAGCCUUGAGUUGGCCCUGCGUAUUUGUGGAAUAAAUUGAUGCAAUGCGUAUUUUUGGAAUUAAUGUUUUUUGAAUAUUUAUUUAUAUAAAAAAGUCCGAUUAUACGCUUCUAUUUCAUCUUUCCGUUGCGCUUCUGCUUCUCGUCCAGAACCAGGCUGCUCCGUGUGAAAUCGCCGUUGAGAAUCGCAGAGUCGCCGAAAUCGUAGCUUUUGCUGCGUGGUUGCGUUUCAGGUUGAAGUUCUCUUUCUUGGCCCUGAACCCCUGAUUGCAGCCCAACUCAACCCAAUGGCCCAAUCUAAAUAGAAGACCAUGGAAGAAGAGCCCUAGCAGAAUAACAGUCUCUAAUCUCUUAAUCUCCCUUAUUUUUACAGUUUAUCUCCAAUUCUCCAUGGCCAAAAUUUCAAAUUUUCACCUAUCUCAAGUCUCAAUCUCUGACUUUAUCUCUCUUCCCCUCUGAAAUGUGAAUUUCGUGCGACCAAAACCCCAAUUUGGAGAGUCACCGACUCGCCGUGACUCCGUGAGGUUUGCCGCUGGUGUUAUCGACUCGGACUGGUGGUGGUGGUUGGACUGCGUGAGGCCGUGAGCGUCAUUUUGGACUCUCUUGCUCUGCCUCUCUGUCUCUGGCUCUGGAAUCUCAAUCGCUGGUCGCUGCUCUUUCCCUCCCCUUUGCUGCUAGUUCAUCAGGAAUGGCAUUGACUCAAGCUAAUGCAAGUGAAAAUUCGUCUAAAUUUAGCUUAUUUGAGAUUUAUUUUAUUUUCUGUAAAAUUAGUUUUUGCUAUUAAAUUUUUCUAAAUUUUUAUAAUUUACGAGUCAUAUUUACGUUCCGUCUUACGAUUCAACGAAUUACGAUUUUGAGUUAGCUUAACGAGUCGAGGUAAAAACUAAGAGUUCACUACCUUGGUUUUA